CUCAAUUUUAUGAAGUCUUAUGGAUUCUUAAAUUUAGAUUGAAAGUUUGUAAAUGGGAAUGGCAUUAAAAAAUCAAAAAAUGCAAUUUAUAGUCACUUUUUAAUCAGAGAUUCCAAAAAUUACUAAUCUUUCUUCAUAAUAAACUUUUGAUAAACAUAUGAUUCUAGAGAGAUAAUGUUGGCAAGCAUCUCAGAAUUAUCUGUUUCAAAAAACAAUGCAGUGACUUCAUUGAUUAUAGGCCUUGGGAUAGCCUCAGUGCAUUCUUCUUUGUUGGAAUGUUUUGGAUUGUCCUUUGGCAAUCACAUUCAACACUUUAUUAACAAUUUCAUCAUUGAAUAUUUCUUCUGUUCAAGGCUGUAUAUUUUCAUCUACAUUCAGAAAGUCCUGAAAAUGACAUCUUCAGGAACUUGAGGAUCUUUUAGACAAAAUUCCUACAUCAGGGCUUUUUGUUCUAGAAUUGGGAUUGCUCUUGAAAAUCUUUUAUUGAAACUGAUUUGUCUGUAAUAAAUUGUGCAUGUCAAAAUGAAUCAGCAACUGUUACUUGGGAGAUAUCUUAUGCA
RNAcentral lists this long non-coding RNA (560 nucleotides) under Androctonus crassicauda. Lineage: Eukaryota; Metazoa; Arthropoda; Arachnida; Scorpiones; Buthidae. The record is from RNAcentral.